This 23-nucleotide small nuclear RNA is filed under the name Arabidopsis thaliana (thale cress). Its description in RNAcentral is "snRNA_10676". Lineage: Eukaryota; Viridiplantae; Streptophyta; Magnoliopsida; Brassicales; Brassicaceae. The record is from RNAcentral.
UCUCUAAGCUAUUGGCAAAGAGA